AGACUGCCGGUGAUAAGCCGGAGGAAGGCGGGGAUGACGUCAAGUCCUCAUGGCCCUUACAUCCCGGGCUACACACGUGCUACAAUGGCAGGUACAGAGGGCUGCGAAGCCGCGAGGUGGAGCGAAUCCCAGAAAACCUGUCUCAGUCCGGAUUGAAGUCUGCAACUCGACUUCAUGAAGGCGGAAUCGCUAGUAACCGCGAAUCAGCAGGUCCGCGGUCCGAAUACGUUCCGGGCCUU
RNAcentral lists this ribosomal RNA (239 nucleotides) under uncultured Latescibacterota bacterium. RNAcentral's name for it is "uncultured Latescibacteria bacterium partial 16S ribosomal RNA". It matches the Rfam family "Bacterial small subunit ribosomal RNA", at positions 1146 to 1382 of the family's 1533-position model. The record is from RNAcentral. Lineage: Bacteria; Pseudomonadati; Candidatus Latescibacterota.